AUUGAACGCUGGCGGCAUGCCUUACACAUGCAAGUCGAACGGCAGCACGGGAGCAAUCCUGGUGGCGAGUGGCGAACGGGUGAGUAAUAUAUCGGAACGUGCCCAGUAGUGGGGGAUAGCCCGGCGAACGCCGGAUUAAUACCGCAUACGACCUAAGUGUGAAAGCGGGGGACCGUAAGGCCUCGCGCUAUUGGAGCGGCCGAUAUCAGAUUAGGUAGUUGGUAGGGUAAAAGCCUACCAAGCCAUCGAUCUGUAGCUGGUCUGGGAGGACGACCAGCCACACUGGGACUGAGACACGGCCCAGACUCCUACGGGAGGCAGCAGUGGGGAAUUUUGGACAAUGGGCGAAAGCCUGAUCCAGCCAUGCCGCGUGCAGGAAGAAGGCCUUCGGGUUGUAAACUGCUUUUGUCGGGGAAGAAACGCUCUGGGCUAAUACCCUGGGGUAAUGACGGUACCCGAAGAAUAAGCACCGGCUAACUACGUGCCAGCCGCCGCCGUAA
Molecule: ribosomal RNA, 500 nt
Filed under: uncultured bacterium
Lineage: Bacteria
Description: partial 16S ribosomal RNA
Rfam family: Bacterial small subunit ribosomal RNA
Source: RNAcentral